GACGAACGCUGGCGGCGUGCUUAACACAUGCAAGUCGAACGGAAAGGCCCUGCUGUUGUGGUGUGCUCGAGUGGCGAACGGGUGAGUAACACGUGAGUAACCUGCCCUUGACUUUGGGAUAACUUCAGGAAACUGGGGCUAAUACCGGAUAGGAGCUCCUGCUGCAUGGUGUGGGUUGGAAAGUUUCGGCGGUUGGGGAUGGACUCGCGGCUUAUCAGCUUGUUGGUGGGGUAGUGGCUUACCAAGGCUUUGACGGGUAGCCGGCCUGAGAGGGUGACCGGCCACAUUGGGACUGAGAUACGGCCCAGACUCCUACGGGAGGCAGCAGUGGGGAAUAUUGCACAAUGGGCGGAAGCCUGAUGCAGCAACGCCGCGUGCGGGAUGACGGCCUUCGGGUUGUAAACCGCUUUCGCCUGUGACGAAGCGUGAGUGACGGUAAUGGGUAAAGAAGCACCGGCUAACUACGUG
RNAcentral lists this ribosomal RNA (468 nucleotides) under uncultured bacterium. Its description in RNAcentral is "partial 16S ribosomal RNA". It matches the Rfam family "Bacterial small subunit ribosomal RNA", at positions 28 to 507 of the family's 1533-position model. The record is from RNAcentral.